GGCUUAACACAUGCAAGUCGAGGGGCAGCGGGGGUAGCGAUACCCGCCGGCGACCGGCGCACGGGUGAGUAACGCGUAUGCAACUUGCCUAUCAGAGGGGGAUAACCCGGCGAAAGUCGGACUAAUACCGCAUGAAGCAGGGGCCCCGCAUGGGGAUAUUUGCUAAAGAUUCAUCGCUGAUAGAUAGGCAUGCGUUCCAUUAGGCAGUUGGCGGGGUAACGGCCCACCAAACCGACGAUGGAUAGGGGUUCUGAGAGGAAGGUCCCCCACAUUGGUACUGAGACACGGACCAAACUCCUACGGGAGGCAGCAGUGAGGAAUAUUGGUCAAUGGCCGAGAGGCUGAACCAGCCAAGUCGCGUGAGGGAUGAAGGUUCUAUGGAUCGUAAACCUCUUUUAUAAGGGAAUAAAGUGCGGGACGUGUCCCGUUUUGUAUGUACCUUAUGAAUAAGGAUCGGCUAACUCCGUGCCAGCAGCCGCGGUAAUACGGAGGAUCCGAGCGUUAUCCGGAUUUAUUGGGUUUAAAGGGUGCGUAGGCGGCCUUUUAAGUCAGCGGUGAAAGUCUGUGGCUCAACCAUAGAAUUGCCGUUGAAACUGGGGGGCUUGAGUAUGUUUGAGGCAGGCGGAAUGCGUGGUGUAGCGGUGAAAUGCAUAGAUAUCACGCAGAACCCCGAUUGCGAAGGCAGCCUGCCAAGCCAUUACUGACGCUGAUGCACGAAAGCGUGGGGAUCAAACAGGAUUAGAUACCCUGGUAGUCCACGCAGUAAACGAUGAUCACUAGCUGUUUGCGAUACACUGUAAGCGGCACAGCGAAAGCGUUAAGUGAUCCACCUGGGGAGUACGCCGGCAACGGUGAAACUCAAAGGAAUUGACGGGGGCCCGCACAAGCGGAGGAACAUGUGGUUUAAUUCGAUGAUACGCGAGGAACCUUACCCGGGUUUGAACGCAUUCGGACCGAGGUGGAAACACCUUUUCUAGCAAUAGCCGUUUGCGAGGUGCUGCAUGGUUGUCGUCAGCUCGUGCCGUGAGGUGUCGGCUUAAGUGCCAUAACGAGCGCAACCCUUGCCACUAGUUACUAACAGGUAAAGCUGAGGACUCUGGUGGGACUGCCAGCGUAAGCUGCGAGGAAGGCGGGGAUGACGUCAAAUCAGCACGGCCCUUACAUCCGGGGCGACACACGUGUUACAAUGGCGUGGACAAAGGGAGGCCACCUGGCGACAGGGAGCGAAUCCCCAAACCACGUCUCAGUUCGGAUCGGAGUCUGCAACCCGACUCCGUGAAGCUGGAUUCGCUAGUAAUCGCGCAUCAGCCAUGGCGCGGUGAAUACGUUCCCGGGCCUUGUACACACCGCCCGUCAAGCCAUGGGAGCCGGGGGUACCUGAAGUCCGUAACCGAAAGGAUCGGCCUAGGGUAAAACUGGUGACUGGGGCUAAGA
RNAcentral lists this ribosomal RNA (1434 nucleotides) under uncultured organism. Its description in RNAcentral is "SSU rRNA". It matches the Rfam family "Bacterial small subunit ribosomal RNA". The record is from RNAcentral.